UACGAAGGGGGCUAGCGUUGCUCGGAAUCACUGGGCGUAAAGGGUGCGUAGGCGGGUUUUUAAGUCAGGGGUGAAAUCCUGGAGCUCAACUCCAGAACUGCCUUUGAUACUGAAGAUCUUGAGUCCGGGAGAGGUGAGUGGAACUGCGAGUGUAGAGGUGAAAUUCGUAGAUAUUCGCAAGAACACCAGUGGCGAAGGCGGCUCACUGGCCCGGUACUGACGCUGAGGCGCGAAAGCCAGGGGAGCAAACGGG
This 253-nucleotide ribosomal RNA is filed under the name uncultured bacterium. RNAcentral describes it as "partial 16S ribosomal RNA". It matches the Rfam family "Bacterial small subunit ribosomal RNA", at positions 524 to 776 of the family's 1533-position model. The record is from RNAcentral.